This 761-nucleotide ribosomal RNA is filed under the name uncultured bacterium. RNAcentral describes it as "bacterial SSU rRNA". It matches the Rfam family "Bacterial small subunit ribosomal RNA", at positions 9 to 774 of the family's 1533-position model. The record is from RNAcentral.
UAGUUUGAUCCUGGCUCAGGACGAAGAGACGGCAUGCUUAACACAUGCAAGUCGAACGUGAUUUUUGUGGUUAAUUCUUUCGGGAAUGGAAAUGAAAUGAAAGUGGCGAACGGGUGAGUAACACGUGAGCAACCUACCUUACACAGGGGGAUAGCCGUUGGAAACGACGAUUAAUACCGCAUGAGACCACAGAAUCGCAUGAUAUAGGGGUCAAAGAUUUAUCGGUGUAAGAAGGGCUCGCGUCUGAUUAGCUAGUUGGAAGGGUAAAGGCCUACCAAGGCGACGAUCAGUAGCCGGUCUGAGAGGAUGAACGGCCACAUUGGAACUGAGACACGGUCCAAACUCCUACGGGAGGCAGCAGUGGGGAAUAUUGCACAAUGGGGGGAACCCUGAUGCAGCGACGCCGCGUGAGCGAAGAAGGUUUUCGAAUCGUAAAGCUCUGUCCUAUGAGAAGAUAAUGACGGUAUCAUAGGAGGAAGCCCCGGCUAAAUACGUGCCAGCAGCCGCGGUAAUACGUAUGGGGCGAGCGUUGUCCGGAAUUAUUGGGCGUAAAGGGUACGUAGGCGGUUUUUUAAGUCAGGUGUGAAAGCGUGAGGCUUAUCCUCAUUAAGCACUUGAGACUGGAAGACUUUGAGUGAAGGAGAGGAUAGUGCAAUUCCUAGUGUAGCGGUGAAAUGCGUAAUAUUAGGAGGAAUACCGGUGGCGAAGGCGACUUUCUGGACUUUUUACUGACGCUCAGGACAAAGCGUGUGGAGCAAACA